AUGUUGCUCUUCUUCGAUGUCCUCGGAUGGAGCAUCAAUGUACUGGCUGCCACAUCUUCCUCUGGUACAUGGGAGCCUGUUACUUCUUAUGCGAGACACCCUGACUUUCCAUGGCAGGACACAAUUGAAUAUAGCAGCCCCGCUAUCUGCCAUGGUGGUAUCAUCCACUGGCUAGUGUACUGUAGUGACCAAAUCCUCCCAUAUGAUGUGAGCACGAGGGUGCCCCAGACGGGUGAAGCUCCCUCCCACCAGUCGCUGUCUUAA
This 264-nucleotide ribosomal RNA is filed under the name Triticum aestivum (bread wheat). RNAcentral describes it as "partial small subunit ribosomal RNA". The record is from RNAcentral. Lineage: Eukaryota; Viridiplantae; Streptophyta; Magnoliopsida; Poales; Poaceae.